CAUCCUGCCUCCAGGGAGAAACGCCUGUUUAGAGAAAAACCUUUGGUAGUGAUUUUUUUUUUUUUUUUUUUUUUUAUGAGAGCAAGAUAGGGGAAAAGGAUUGCUUUUUAAGUGUUUAUUAGUGUACAUGUUGUAAAUUUAUACAAAGGGGGGAAAAGGUCAAAGAACAGCACUUAGAGCAGAAGGUGAUGAAGGGGUACGCUGGUUCACAGACUGUGUGGAAUCACUCCAUGGUGCUAGUGUGCCUUUCAGGAAAGCUCUGCUGUGAUCACCAUUGUGCCUUGAAGCUGCCAACCCCUUCCUGCUGUAUUGGAUGAUUAUGAGCAGGAGCACAUAUCAAGAGCCAAGGCCUGGGAUCGCUAUCAGUGAGAAAGACCAACGCUUUGAAUGUGACAACCAAAAUUCUACCAGAGGGCAGCAUGGACAGCACCAACCUGACCAUCUUUUCUUAGGAAGCUUUUCCACAGAUGAAAGGAUAACCAGCAUCCUAGCUUUGACUGCUGAUGGUCUAGAAACACAGAGACAAUCAGCUCAGAAACCAUUCCCCUGCAUUCUCACCAUCAGUUCCUGGUAUGACAGCCUUUCUACAAACACUACUUGACUGAAGUUCGGAAAGGGAAAAUUAAUUUUCAGAAUCAUGGAGGACUGGUUCUAGGACUGAACUUCCCUGGUACGCUUGUGUGCCUCUCAUCACUCCUAUUGCAGUCUACCCCCUCCUCAGAAACAGGACAAGCUUACCGUUUCUUUCCUUCAGAAGUUCUGGUGUUAGUCUAUAGAUGAGCAACCACCGAACCCCGGGAAUCACCUCAUGUUAUGGAUGUCAUCAAGACCUUGCAGUCCGAAUUUCAGAGGAAUUUGGAUCCACCCUUUCAAGAGACAUCACAUGUUACAAAUUAACCACAUAGCAUGUAUAAGUGGAACACCCUUCAACCUGUAAUCAUGUUCUGGAUGGUCCUCUCAAA
This 962-nucleotide long non-coding RNA is filed under the name Anas platyrhynchos platyrhynchos (common mallard). RNAcentral's name for it is "lncRNA (ENSAPLG00000030730.1)". The record is from RNAcentral. Lineage: Eukaryota; Metazoa; Chordata; Aves; Anseriformes; Anatidae.